GCAAACUUGGUCAUUUAGAGGAAGUACAAGUCGUAACAAGGUUUCCGUAGGUGAACCUGCGGAAGGAUCAUUACUAAAUCCAUUAUCUCCAAUGAUAAUACAACAACAACCUGUUGAAAUGUGUGGUGCGCGUGUCUAUUAUCAUCGCGCUACACAUCCAUCAUCACGUCGCAUGGACGAGAGAAAUCUCGAUAAUGAGAUGAUGAUGAUGUAUGUGGGUGGUGAUGAUUUGAGACACACAUUUACGCACACAACAAUCCCAAUCACGAUGUAUUCUUGACACACCGAUAUCAUAUCAUUAUUAUUAUUAUAAUAACAUAAAGACAACUUUUAACAAUGGAUCUCUUGGCUCUUGCAUCGAUGAAGAACGCAGC
RNAcentral lists this unclassified non-coding RNA (374 nucleotides) under uncultured fungus. Its description in RNAcentral is "partial contains small subunit ribosomal RNA, internal transcribed spacer 1, and 5.8S ribosomal RNA". The stretch from base 1 to 73 matches the Rfam family "Eukaryotic small subunit ribosomal RNA", at positions 1759 to 1831 of the family's 1831-position model. Lineage: Eukaryota; Fungi. The record is from RNAcentral.